UCUGCUAAAGAGGAGGAAGGGAAUGGGCAACGGUAGGUCAGCAUGCCCCGAAUUAUCUGGGCUACACGCGGGCUACAAUGGGUGGGACAAUGGGUAUCGACACCGAAAGGUGAAGGCAAUCUCCUAAACCCAUCCGUAGUUCGGAUUGUGGGCUGCAACUCGCCCACAUGAAGCUGGAAUCUGUAGUAAUCGUGUCUCAAAAUGGCACGGUGAAUAUGUCCCUGCUCCUU
RNAcentral lists this ribosomal RNA (230 nucleotides) under uncultured Methanomicrobiales archaeon. RNAcentral's name for it is "partial 16S ribosomal RNA". It matches the Rfam family "Archaeal small subunit ribosomal RNA", at positions 1110 to 1338 of the family's 1478-position model. Lineage: Archaea; Methanobacteriati; Methanobacteriota; Methanomicrobia; Methanomicrobiales. The record is from RNAcentral.